RNAcentral lists this ribosomal RNA (469 nucleotides) under uncultured bacterium. Its description in RNAcentral is "partial 16S ribosomal RNA". It matches the Rfam family "Bacterial small subunit ribosomal RNA", at positions 28 to 507 of the family's 1533-position model. The record is from RNAcentral.
GACGAACGCUGGCGGCGUGCUUAACACAUGCAAGUCGAACGGAAAGGCCCUGCUUUUGUGGUGUUCUCGUGUGGCAAACGGGUGUGACACACGUGUGUACUGCGCUCUUCACUUUGGUAUACCUUCAGGACACUGUGUCUUAUACCGGAUAGGCGCUCCUGCUGCAUGUUGGUGGAUAGAUAUUUUUGUCGGUUUUGGGUGCGCUCGCUGUCUGCUAGUUUGUUGGGGGGUUAGUGGCUUACCAAGGCGGUGGCGGGUAGCCGGCCUGAGUGGGUGGACGGCGACAUUGGGACUGAGAUACGGCCCAGACGCCGACGGGAGGCAGCAGGGGGGAAGAGUGCACAAUGGGCGCAAGCCUGAUGCAGCGACGCCGCGUGGGGGAUGACGGCCUUCGGGUUGUAAACUCCUUUCGCUAGGGACGAAGCUUUUUGUGACGGUACCUAGAUAAGAAGCACCGGCUAACUACGUG